This 530-nucleotide ribosomal RNA is filed under the name uncultured bacterium. RNAcentral's name for it is "bacterial SSU rRNA". It matches the Rfam family "Bacterial small subunit ribosomal RNA", at positions 315 to 842 of the family's 1533-position model. The record is from RNAcentral.
GGUACUGAGACACGGACCAGACUCCUACGGGAGGCAGCAGUGAGGAAUAUUGGUCAAUGGGCGGGAGCCUGAACCAGCCAAGUCGCGUGAGGGAUGACGGCCCUAUGGGUUGUAAACCUCUUUUGCCGGGGAGCAAAGUGCCGCACGUGUGCGGUUUGGAGAGUACCCGGAGAAAAAGCAUCGGCUAACUCCGUGCCAGCAGCCGCGGUAAUACGGAGGAUGCGAGCGUUAUCCGGAUUUAUUGGGUUUAAAGGGUGCGUAGGCGGACGCUUAAGUCAGCGGUAAAAUUGCGGGGCUCAACCUCGUCGAGCCGUUGAAACUGGGUGCCUUGAGUGGGCGAGAAGUACGCGGAAUGCGUGGUGUAGCGGUGAAAUGCAUAGAUAUCACGCAGAACUCCGAUUGCGAAGGCAGCGUACCGGCGCCCAACUGACGCUGAAGCACGAAGGCGUGGGUAUCGAACAGGAUUAGAUACCCUGGUAGUCCACGCAGUAAACGAUGAAUGCUAGUUGUCCGGGGCGAUUGAGUUCUGG